Biomphalaria glabrata is the source of this 4331-nucleotide long non-coding RNA. RefSeq lists it as uncharacterized. The record is from RefSeq and is a predicted model, not a curated record. NCBI's taxonomy places the organism in Eukaryota, Metazoa, Mollusca, Gastropoda, Planorbidae. The transcript has 9 exons.
AAGGCUCAUUGGCUUGUCGAUCUAGAUUAGAUCUUACAACAUUCUAGAUCUAAAUGAUAAAUGUGUAAAAAAAAAAAAAGAUAAUGUAAAUCCUUUCUAUUAAGAAAAAAUGCUGCCUUAACUAGUUACUAGUUUACAAUGGCUAUGCUUGCCCUGGAUAAUAUGUAGGUCACAGCUGGAGCUGCGUAGCCAUGAGAAAUACUGCAUUCCUCAUUAAUCUUCAGACUUGAAGACGAGCCUUAUAAGUUACUAGCUUAGAUUCUAAAUCGUAAGUUGUUCAUUUUUGGCGAAAUAUGCAUUGCACCACUUGGACUGCAUAGUAAAGCGAAAUACUGCAGGCCUACACAUCCAUACCAUUUGUAUUAAAGAAUGUGUCACUCAUUCAUAACCUUCAUAUAGUAUAGUGGAUACUUUUAAGCAAUUUUUUAUUAGAUGCCAUUUAUUUGUUUAAAUGCUCAGCUACUUGAUAUCUGGUUGAAUUCAAAUGAUAAUAAUUGCAUCUUAAUGUGUAAUUAUACAAUUAUUUAUUUACCUUGUAGUUGUUUUUUUAAUCAGUUCAAGAUGUUGAGUAUUGAUUACUAAUCAACUACUAGCCUGGAAGAUAAAAGCCAAAGCUGUAAACAGACAGGCCAGGUAAAUAUAUGAAUGAAGUAAUUGAAACUAGAAGUAAACAUCAUGGGAAGUCUAAUUAUAGGGCAAGUAUUUUUCCUUCAUAUCUUAUUUAACAUAGUCAAACCAUGCAAUACUUAUAGGCUUAACUAUUGUUUUCAUAGAAACAAUGUUAUUUUAAAUAUCAUGAGAUAGUGUAUUUAAGAGAUUUUCUAUUUCAAGUUUCCAUAUUUAAUCAGCUUAACAAGUGCACAUUCUCUGCUGCCAACAGUACCAAUUUGUCAUCCAAGCAACAAAUAUUCCUUGGUAAUCUGCUAUCAGAUGAUUACAGUUUUCUCUUUGGCAUUUUUAUGAAUUAAAGCUUUCAAGGCCAAACUUCAGAUUUGCUUAGCAUAUUCCUGUACUACAUAUCAACAAAUGUUUGAUGGUUUGUCUGGUUCAUCUCUUAACACUAUGAAGAUGGCUACACUAAUCUUAACAAGCAAACAUUCUGUUGCCCACAGUACCAAUUUGUCAUCCUAUCCAAGCAACUACUAUUCCUUGGUAAUCUGCUAUCAGAUGAUUACAGUUUUCUCUUUGGCAUUUGUAUGAAUUAAAGCUUUCAAAGCCAAAGUAAGACAUUUUUUUUCUUCAACAGUUAAUUCUGAAACAAUUUAUUCAAAUUUUUUAAACAUUAUUCUGAACUAUUUUCUGUGUUUUGGUCAAGCCUUAGAUUUCGUUAGCAUAACCCUGAACUGCAUAUCAACAAAUGUCUAAUGGUCUGUCUGGUUCAUUUGUCAACACUAUGAAGAUGGCUACACAGGUAUCAGCUAUCAGCAGUGCACCCCUAAGAUACACAAGUCUUCAUUGCCAAGUCACUCUGCCAAACAACUCUACAUGCUACUGAUCUGGAGGUUAGUGGAUCAAUCAUUGUGCACUGAUUCUUCACUGAUGCCUUGAUUCUCCACUGUCAACUUUAUUGUCAUAAAGUUUAUCUAGUGAUCUACAUAUCAAGACUAAACGGUCAAUUAAACAUGAGGUCAAGGAAAAAGGAUGAACAUUUCAAGGCUACAGAAGGAACAUUAAACGUCUCUCUCACUGUGAAAAGACUCUACCGAUCUACAAAUGAUCAACAUGUUUUAUCUUAAGUUCAUCUGCCAUUUCUUCAAAUGGAGCCAUAGUCACAAUAAGAUUUUCAUCAUUUUUUCCUAAAGUCAUUUUAGUUGUGAAUUAUUUUGUGCAACAAGUUACCAGAAAAACGUCAAGCAAGAGAGGUCACUACACUAAGACUUUGUCUUCUCAUAAGAAUGGAUUGUUUUCUCAAAAGAAUGGAUGGCUGCCUGGUCAUGUGGGAUGUGCGCUGGACUGUUGUGUGGUCAUCUUGAUGCUCAUACCUUGCCUGAUGCCAUUUAUUCUGCUGGACGUUUGGUCAAGGAAGUAGAUUCUCUUCAGCUCUCAAGGAACAUUCAAAACAUGUCAAACAUUUGAUAAGAAUAUCAAGUUACAGUGUACAUACCAAGGUGAUGAAGAUGUAAACCGACAUGGAGAUGUAGACCAACAUGAAGAUGUAGACCAACAUGAAGAUGUAGACCAACAUGAAGAUGUAGACCAACAUGAAGAUGUAGACCAACAUGAAGAUGUAGACCAGCAUAAGGAUGUAGACCAACAUAAGAAUGUAGCAUGAUGAAGAUGUAGACCAGCUUGGUGAAGAUGUAGACCAACAUGAUGAAGAUGUAGACCAACAUGAUGAAGAUGUAGACUGACAUGAAGAUGAAAUUUAAACCGAAAUAUUGAUAAAGAGAUGUAGGGAAUAAAAUGUGAACAUCUUAAGAAGUAAAACAAUUCCUAGAGGUGAAGACACAGACACAGUGGAUACAUUAGAGAUUGUUUCCUUUUCUACCAUUAUUUAGAGCCUUACCUGUGCUCUCAGGGAACCUGCCAUUAUCUUUUGAUUGCUAGGUGUUGGUGAAGAUUUUGUUUACAUAUCUGGUGCGUCUGAAAGAAAUGAACAUUUCCCUAAAGCUACAUCAAAGCCAGAACUUCUUAAGACAAUCUUAGUGACCAAGCUACUAUACAAGACACAGUAGGAAACAAUGAAGAAUUCUCCCAACCUCAAGUUGAGUACCCAUGCUCACCUACUAGAGUGGCGACACAUAAUUCUCCUACACCCACAGUUAUUUAUCCUGAACCCUUUAACCCAACCUCACAACAUGGUUACAUUACCGGAAGUGGUUGCAAAGUCAGAAAACCUAACAGAUACAAUGAAAAGAACAAUCAUUUCUAAUACAGGUACAAGUACUCAAGUGAUAUACUUUGUAAGAACUAAUUAGUUGGAAUUACCAUAAUUGACUUGUAUCUUUUUCUAUAUUUAGGUAUAUGUUUUUUUUUAAAUAUUCCUUUUUCCCCCCUCAAUCUUCUUGUUUCAGUUCAAUGUUUUUAUCUAUUUUGUUUUUGGAGGAGGGAAGUUCUAUGGUAUAUUAUCAUUAUUAUUAUUGUAUUAAGCAAACUUGUAUAUGUAUGUUUAUUCAUGAAUACUAAUGAAGAAAUGAAGAACAUCACUUCUAGGUCAUCUACUGCAAAUGUUGUAAACACUAAACAUGUCUUCAGUUAACCUUGGAUAUUCUAUAGAGUCACAACACCAAAACUACAAUAUGCUUAAUUCAAUUUAUUAUCUCCCCUGCUUUUGUGUGCUAUCAUAUUAAUGUUCAUUAGUGUCACAUCCCUGCACUAUUUGUUCUAUGUUUUUUUUAUAGUGUAAAUAGUGACUUCACAUUGUUUAGCUCUAUUAAAAUAUUAUUAUAUUAUUAUAUUUAAAAUAAAACUGUUAACAUUGACUAUGCUGUUAUUAAUAUGAAAGCUUUGCUGUGUUGCUAUAAAUGCAAUUUUUUGGGGGUUUAGUCUAAGGACAUCAUAGAUGAGAAAUGUAGUGACACUCCCCUUAACAGUUAAAAAUAAAAUGUUCCAUAAACAAAGAGUCUAUUAAUAUUUACUAUUUGGUAUUGACAGACUUCACUCAAGCAUUGAGCUCAUCCCCUUAGUCUAUUUAAAACUUUAAAAUACUAAUUCACUUUGUCUUAUCUAAUGGUGAUCAUGGGGUAUCCACUUUGUCAUCUCCAUAGUCUCUGGUGUGAACAUUCACUGUCCUGUUGGAGGUUAGGACUAGCAUGUAAUCUCUAUUUCUGACGGAACACAUGUAAAAUCAACAGUAGACCUAGACUUUAUUAACAGGUCAUGCAAGCAUUUUUUAUAAUUGUGAACUAGCGCUCCCAGAGCUAUUUUUAUGUAUUGUUAUUUUUACUACUUUUGUAGACUAGUGCUAAGCUGUAUACAUGUACUUCCCCCUAUUAUUAUAUGGGUUAGGGUGGAGUACUUCAAAUAGUAUAGUCAAUGCUGUUUCCUGUACUGUUGACCAGGGGUCUAUGUGUCAGUUUUAAUUAUUCUGUACCUGGGACUGCCAGUAAGUUUCAGAAUUAUUUUUCUUUUUUUUUAUUUUACUAUGUGUAAAUCUAUUAUUUAAUUUUUUAGCAAUAUAUGUUACAUUAUUUUUCUAAUUGGAACAAGUGUCAAAAUAACUGACAAUAUGUUUAAAAAAUAUAGCUAAGCCCCGGCCAGCACUGUCAUGAUGGCCACUUCUAAUGUUUAUGUACUAGAUCUUGUCCUUAUGUUUUUUGUAUUUUUUUGCUGCAUUGUUUUGUAACUGCUGCUUUAGUCAUUGAAAUUAAAGUCUCAUUUUUUUGUAUUUC